AAGAGUUUCACAGACAAUCUCCAGUCCAUCUUCCAGAAUCUUGAGAGCAAAAUGAUCAGAUUUAUGAGGAAUGAACUGGAGAAAUUUAAGAAAAUCUUACAA
Molecule: non-coding RNA, 102 nt
Organism: Danio rerio (zebrafish)
Lineage: Eukaryota; Metazoa; Chordata; Actinopteri; Cypriniformes; Danionidae
Source: RefSeq, a predicted model, not a curated record